RNAcentral lists this transfer RNA (73 nucleotides) under Actinomycetota bacterium. RNAcentral describes it as "Actinobacteria bacterium (freshwater metagenome) tRNA-Ala". It matches the Rfam family "tRNA". Rfam says of the family: Transfer RNA (tRNA) molecules are approximately 80 nucleotides in length. Their secondary structure includes four short double-helical elements and three loops (D, anti-codon, and T loops). The record is from RNAcentral. Lineage: Bacteria; Bacillati; Actinomycetota.
GGGGGAUUAGCUCAGCUGGGAGAGCGCCUGCUUUGCACGCAGGAGGUCACCGGUUCGAUCCCGGUAUCCUCCA